This is a long non-coding RNA of Carassius carassius (crucian carp), 947 nucleotides long. RefSeq lists it as uncharacterized. The transcript is spliced from 3 exons. Lineage: Eukaryota; Metazoa; Chordata; Actinopteri; Cypriniformes; Cyprinidae. The record is from RefSeq and is a predicted model, not a curated record.
CAAAUAUUAUGCUAGCUUAGAAGCAUAAGUAUAACAUAAUAGAUUUGAGCUCUUAUUAAUGAACGUUUGGGCUUUUAAUCACAUCUUAUGUGUAAAGGAGCGGUUUUGAUAGCUUUGUAAACGUUUUUGAUGAUAAUAUGUCAAAAGAUAAUUGGAAGUAAGCUAAUUAAUUAAAACUAAAAGUCUGCACUGUAGAGUCUAUCAGUGACGUCACUCGCGGUCUAAAUUUGGCUGACACUAUUUCAAACCAGAUUUUCAAACACGUUUUGAUUUUUCAUUGUAAACAAAUAUUGAUUAAAAUUGUACUGUGAUUUCAGGAGUGUCUUAAAAACCCUCUAAAACAGAGGGGAAGUUCCAAGAAAAUUUCUAAUGGGAGCUGCUGACAGAGAUAGAAAACACAGUUUGUUUAUUUCUAAUAAGGAGCUGGAGGCUGUGGAGAAGCAGAUCCGUGACCUCGUAGAGAAGCAGGCCCAGCUGAGAGAGUGGAGAGCUGUGCUGGAAACAUUCAGGGGUUGACGCUCAUAAGUCCAGGGGCAGUUUGUGAAGACAGAUAAUCAAGAGAAGUCAGUUCCAGAUCCACCUUCCACACCAGACCUCUCUCUCACGAGGAUUGCUGUCUACUAGCAUAUUGUGUUCUCUUCAGACUUCGGGGGAUGCAGAUAUUACUCAGGGACAUGAACACUUGAAUAUUGCAAGAUUAGAGAAAGUAAGAAUUACUUAAGAUUUUAGAAUUUAUUGUUAAUUGCUUAAACAUAUAUACAUAUAUAUAUAUUUUUAGAUAUAUUUUUUGUGGCAGUGUGAACUGGCCAUAAUGCUGUAUGAUAGGUGUGAGAUUCAUUAAACUUGAUUUGCUAUAAUACAUCUGUUCAUAAGCUAUUGCAUAUUAUUUUCAAUGAAUUAUUUGUAGUGGUUUGGUUAAGGGUGUGAUUAGCUGACGUAUUAUUUGU